RNAcentral lists this ribosomal RNA (729 nucleotides) under uncultured bacterium. RNAcentral's name for it is "bacterial SSU rRNA". It matches the Rfam family "Bacterial small subunit ribosomal RNA", at positions 66 to 773 of the family's 1533-position model. The record is from RNAcentral.
ACGCGAAAGUGGAGCAUCCAUGAGUAGAGUGGCAAACGGGUGAGUAACACGUGGGUGACCUGCCUUCGAGCGGGGGAUAACGUCCCGAAAGGGACGCUAAUACCGCAUAACAUCCUGCCUUUUAAGAGGUGGAGAUCAAAGCCGGGGAUUCGCAAGAACCUGGCACUUGAAGAGGGGCCCGCGCCUGAUUAGCUAGUUGGUGGGGUAAUGGCCUACCAAGGCAACGAUCAGUAUCCGGCCUGAGAGGGCGGACGGACACACUGGGACUGAGACACGGCCCAGACUCCUACGGGAGGCAGCAGUGGGGAAUUGUUCGCAAUGGGCGCAAGCCUGACGACGCAACGCCGCGUGGAGGAUGAAGACCUUCGGGUCGUAAACUCCUUUCGAUCGAGACGAAUGUUUUUCGGGUGAACAAUCCGGAAAAGUGACGGUACCGAGAGAAGAAGCCCCGGCUAACUCUGUGCCAGCAGCCGCGGUAAUACAGGGGGGGCAAGCGUUGUUCGGAAUUACUGGGCGUAAAGGGCUCGUAGGUGGCCAACUAAGUCAGACGUGAAAUCCCUCAGCUUAACUGGGGAACUGCGUCUGAUACUGGAUGGCUUGAGUUUGGGAGAGGGAUGCGGAAUUCCAGGUGUAGCGGUGAAAUGCGUAGAUAUCUGGAGGAACACCGGUGGCGAAGGCGGCAUCCUGGACCAACACUGACACUGAGGAGCGAAAGCCAGGGGAGCAAAC